Molecule: ribosomal RNA, 488 nt
Filed under: uncultured Alkalibacterium sp.
Lineage: Bacteria; Bacillati; Bacillota; Bacilli; Lactobacillales; Carnobacteriaceae
Description: partial 16S ribosomal RNA
Source: RNAcentral
CACGUAGUUAGCCGUGACUUUCUGGUUAGAUACCGUCAAGGAGGUGCCAGUUACUACACCUCUUGUUCUUCUCUAACAACAGAGCUUUACGAUCCGAAGACCUUCUUCACUCACGCGGUAUUGCUCCAUCAGGCUUUCGCCCAUUGUGGAAGAUUCCCUACUGCUGCCUCCCGUAGGAGUCUGGACCGUGUCUCAGUUCCAGUGUGGCCGAUCACCCUCUCAGGUCGGCUACGUAUCACAGCCUUGGUGAGCCAUUACCUCACCAACUAGCUAAUACGCCGCGGGGCCAUCCAUAAGCGAUAGCCGAAGCCAUCUUUAAUGAUCUAAGCAUGCGCUAUGAUCACCUAUGCGGUAUUAGCACCCGUUUCCGGAUGUUACUCCCCCUCUUAUGGGCACGGUUCCCCACGUUGUUACUCUACCCGUUCGCCACUCAUCCACACUCUGCAAGCAGAGUGCUUCAGCGUUCGACUUGCAUGUAUUGGCUACCG